UACGUUAGCGGCGGACGGGUGAGUAACACGUGGGUAACCUACCUAUAAGACUGGGAUAACUUCGGGAAACCGGAGCUAAUACCGGAUAAUAUUUCGAACCGCAUGGUUCGAUAGUGAAAGAUUGUUUUGCUAUCACUUAUAGAUGGACCCGCGCCGUAUUAGCUAGUUGGUAAGGUAACGGCUUACCAAGGCGACGAUACGUAGCCGACCUGAGAGGGUGAUCGGCCACACUGGAACUGAGACACGGUCCAGACUCCUACGGGAGGCAGCAGCC
Molecule: ribosomal RNA, 274 nt
Filed under: uncultured Staphylococcus sp.
Lineage: Bacteria; Bacillati; Bacillota; Bacilli; Caryophanales; Staphylococcaceae
Description: partial 16S ribosomal RNA
Rfam family: Bacterial small subunit ribosomal RNA
Source: RNAcentral